Long non-coding RNA from Solanum pennellii, 1930 nucleotides. RefSeq lists it as uncharacterized. The transcript has 3 exons. The record is from RefSeq and is a predicted model, not a curated record. NCBI's taxonomy places the organism in Eukaryota, Viridiplantae, Streptophyta, Magnoliopsida, Solanales, Solanaceae.
UGUCCACUCGUAUGCCUUCCCAUCCUACGUAACUCUUUAACAAUGGUCACCUCCCUCUUACAAAUCUCCACCAAACCUUCCUCCUUCACUUGCCGUAAGUCCCCUUUCCUCCGCAGAGCCUCCCAUUCCCCUUUCCACUUCUACCAGUUGAAUAUCGUUCUCCCCGCUGAAUUCAACACAAGUGAUCAGCGCCACCACCAUCCAACAAAUUUCUGCGCGUAACCCAGACAAUUCGACAUACAAAUGAGGAUUCAUGGUGGAGAUAGAAUGUGAAUAUUGUUGAGCAUAACUUCAGUUUAUGUUCUAUGCGGCAAAGCCAAUCCAACAAAUGAUGAAUAUGUUACUAUACAUAUAUUGGAGGUAAUUAGUUUAUACAAUUAGAAUCUAUAUGACAUUCAUUAAUCACUAACCUACCGGAUGAUCAGAGUAAACUUAAAGAGGAGGAUAUGAAAAAUGCUUGGACAUGAAUUGGAAGUUAAAUUAGCUAAUUAAUGACACUUGGAUUUCGGUCUCAGAUUUCUCUAUCUUGGUACUUGUCUGGGGGAAUUUGAUGGGUGGGUCAGUUUGCUAGGGUGAAAACUGAUAUUGCAAGGUGAAAUUCGGGACUUCGUACAAUGCGAGAGAGCUAUGGUAGAAUCAAAUUUAAAAGAAAGAAGCAACUUAACCACUAAGACAAGAAGGAAUAAUAAAUAGGAUUUGGCAUGUAAGCUUUUAAAUACAUGGGAUACCGGAAAUUGUUCAAUACUGAAUAAUUCCUCCUGCACUUCAGUGUAUAUGGUAGUAAUGCUUAGAAAUUUACUGGGGAUUCCUUCAAGAGUUGGUGUGGUUUUUUGAUUUCCUGAUGUGCAGAUAUGUUUUAAUACUUGACUCAUCUAAAAAAAUUACUUCUUCUAUACUAUGAAGUUCAGUUGUGUUUCUGACGAAUAGGUAUGUAGUUGUCUAUUAGCAAACAACAACUUUGAAUUGAUUCAUGUCAAUUGAAGAUAGUCAGAGCUCCGAGCGGCGAUACCAGUACCUCUUCAAAUACUACAAAGAAUGUGAAACCAAUAGAAGAUUAACCUGUGCUGCUUGAUAUUGAUAAUGGUAGUAGAUAUUAUAGCGCUGAUGAGGCCAGCCGUGAUAAAAAAGAUUGAUGUGGUCCCUUGAUUCGCAUGAAAAGGAAUGGUUCAAUAUAUGCAACUUGUUGUUACUUCAUCUUCCACAAAGGCGGUGUGGUUUCUUUUUGUACCUCACUUUUGGACGAGUCGUCUUCUAUCAAACUAAAAGAUGCUGGAGAGUAAACAAGAAACAAAGUGAGCCAAGGGAAAACACUUCAUGGGGAAGACUCAUCUUCCAAAUCCGGUAUUCUUCCAUGGUAUGUCAUACAUAUGCAUAUUAGGAUGACAUAGUUAAUACACCUUUGAAGUUGCUACAGCAAUUAGAAAAUACGCUUACUCAUACACAUUUGGAGUCGCUGCAACAAUUACAAGAUACCCUUACUAUAAAGGGUGUACAAAGCCUAAACAGUAAAGGGAUAAUGAAUGAUCAAAGGGUAAAAUUAAUGAGGAUCAGAAGCAAAUAUUGUAACAAGCGGCUGAAGAAAAAGAAUGAGAGUUGGUGUUUCUGUUUGUUUGCGCUUUUAUUGUCUUGGUAUCGAAUGGAUUUUGACAGCCGAAAGCAUGUUAAUUUGUUAUAACAAAUUGUCCAAGUUGACAAGUGAUUCGACACCCCCGUAGUUAGGGACUUGUACAUUGUGGGAGUGUGGUGGUAGGCUCAAAAUUGAGCUAAGUGAGAGAAACAUUAUAAACUUAAAAAGCCAAGGAAAUAGAGGUGGGCAUUUAAGCUUGGUGCAUUGCAUGUAAAACUCGAUUGUAUUAAUCAGCUAUAUGCUAAUGUUGAAUCAAUAAUAUGAUAUGUUUAGUAACAGUGAUUUACCAAUGAAUUGGAUGAU